This 497-nucleotide ribosomal RNA is filed under the name uncultured bacterium. RNAcentral describes it as "partial 16S ribosomal RNA". It matches the Rfam family "Bacterial small subunit ribosomal RNA", at positions 28 to 507 of the family's 1533-position model. The record is from RNAcentral.
GAUGAACGCUGGCGGCGUGCCUAAUACAUGCAAGUCGAGCGAACAGACGAGGAGCUUGCUCCUCUGACGUUAGCGGCGGACGGGUGAGUAACACGUGGAUAACCUACCUAUAAGACUGGAUAAACUUCGGAAACCCGAGCCAAUACCCGAUUACCUGUUUAACCCCCAUGGUUAAACAGUAAAAGCGGGUUUUGCUUUAACUAUUGAUUGAAUCCCCGCCGCAUUAGCUAGUUGGUAAGGUAACGGCUUACCAAGGCAACGAUGCGUAGCCGACCUGAGAGGGUGAUCGGCCACACUGGAACUGAGACACGGUCCAGACUCCUACGGGAGGCAGCAGUAGGGAAUCUUCCGCAAAGGGCGAAAGCCUGACGGAGCAACGCCGCGUGAGUGAAGAAGGUCUUCGGAUCGUAAAACUCUGUUAUUAGGGAAGAACAAAUGUGUAAGUAACUAUGCACGUCUUGACGGUACCUAAUCAGAAAGCCACGGCUAACUACGUG